GGGUGAAUUUGGCAAGAGCCUUGAUUUACAAUCCUGGCCCACACCAUCUCCGGUCUUUGACAUCUCUUGUGCACGGGUGAAUUUGCGUUGAGGCGGAUUACAAAUUCGGUUGGAGGGUGGAUUUAUAACGAUAGGGGUACCCCUUGUCGUUGGCUAAUCCGGGUGUUUUGGGACGAUUUUGCCUUCACAAAUCUAGGUGAGGUGUCUUCCUCUAUGUAACAAGAAGAAGAAGAAGAAGAGAGAGAGAGAGAGAGAGAGAGAGAGAGAGAAGUAAUGUUCGUUUCUGGAGAAGUGGAUGGAGAGAGGUAGAAGUUGUAGUGAUGAUCGGAGCAAGAGACUGACUGCCGAAGUGGUGAUGAUUGACGGCGGCGACGGCAACAGCGGACGGAGAAGACGAGGCGUUGCAGAGGAUGGGUUUUUUUUUUUGUGGAAGAACAGAAGGAAAAGAAUGGGGUUGAAAGGGGCGUGGGUGGGUUUUGUACUGUUCUAGACUUCUAGUAGAUCUAUAUUGACAUAUACAUAUACAUAUAUACACGUUAUUUAAGUAUUUUUUUAAUAAAUUAUGUUUUACUUUUAAUUUGUUUCAGA
Molecule: long non-coding RNA, 588 nt
Organism: Rhododendron vialii
Lineage: Eukaryota; Viridiplantae; Streptophyta; Magnoliopsida; Ericales; Ericaceae
Exons: 2
Source: RefSeq, a predicted model, not a curated record